Molecule: long non-coding RNA, 394 nt
Organism: Cygnus olor (mute swan)
Lineage: Eukaryota; Metazoa; Chordata; Aves; Anseriformes; Anatidae
Exons: 3
Source: RefSeq, a predicted model, not a curated record
CAUGACUGCAGCUGUCCCAUUGCUUCAUGGUGGACCUUCUGAGCAUGACAUCUCGCUAAAGAUUUACACAGAUGUUCAAAAUGGGCAAGCAAAGAGGUGAACCACAAUGGCUACCCCUAAUAUCUGUGCUUGAGGUUUGACGUGAGGAUUUGGCAGAUCAAUCUCAAAGUUUGGAAAAGCUGUAUUCCCUUCUUCGGUGAACAAGACCUGAUGCUGCUUAAUUGCAGUAUUGCCUGCAAAGCAGUGGGAAGAUCAAACAGCCUUUCAGCCAGCUGCUCAACAUUGGUCACUGCCUUUGGAGAACGAUGAACCCAUCAGCGCGGCUGAGCGCUGCUGUAGAUCAUCUAGCACAUGCAGAGGUAAGCUGAGAGCCGGGAGUGACCUUGAGCACUGU